CACACCGAAAACUGCACAGCCCUACCUAAAUCUAUCUAUCUUUGCUCUUUCUAACAGUAUAUGUUUUUCAAUCAGAUAAAUUUCAAUAACCAUCCUUAAACUUUAGGGAUUGUAACAAAGCUAUCAUUAAACAUAAAACUCUUGAACUUUGAAAUUUUGCAUAGUAAAAUCAUUUUGACUCCCAAUAGGUGGUUUAUAAAACCCAAGUGACAAUAACAUGAACAAUUCUCUCUCCUCUAUGUGAAAGUUGCAAAAGCAACUAUGAUUUUCUUAACAUAUCAACUAUAAAAGAAUCUCAACCGUACGGAAUAAUGAAGUGCUAGAUGUAUAGCAGCUGAUUAGAGGGACUUCACCUCUAAAAAACAACAGCAAUUGUCCAUGUUAUCACUACUCUGAAUUGUCUACAUUAGCGUAUUAAGCGUGUUACUUAUAAACUGACUAUUGAAAGUUAGAAAGAUUUUAUUGUGCACGAUUUUAAAGUUCAUAGGGUUUUAUAUUAUAUUUUUAAGU
Molecule: unclassified non-coding RNA, 510 nt
Filed under: Hevea brasiliensis (rubber tree)
Lineage: Eukaryota; Viridiplantae; Streptophyta; Magnoliopsida; Malpighiales; Euphorbiaceae
Source: RNAcentral